Molecule: ribosomal RNA, 266 nt
Filed under: uncultured bacterium
Lineage: Bacteria
Description: partial 16S ribosomal RNA
Rfam family: Bacterial small subunit ribosomal RNA
Source: RNAcentral
UGGGGAAUAUUGCACAAUGGGGGAAACCCUGAUGCAGCGACGCCGCGUGGAGGAUGACGGCCUUCGGGUUGUAAACUCCUUUUGUCAGGGACAAUGGUGAUUGUACCUGACGAAUAAGCCACGGCUAACUCUGUGCCAGCAGCCGCGGUAAGACAGAGGUGGCGAGCGUUGUUCGGAAUUACUGGGCUUAAAGGGCGCGUAGGCGGUGGUGUAAGUCUGGGGUGGAAUGCUACAGCUCAACUGUAGAGCUGCCUUGGAAACUGCAU